AAUGGUUACAUUUUCUCUUUAAUAAGUCAGCAUUGUAACAUUGUCCAAAAGCAGGGAAGAUAAUAAUAAUAAUAUUAAUAAUAUUCCUCUCUCCCCAGUCCUGAAGGGAAUAUAGAAACAAACAAGCUUUCCCUCACAGGCUCAAUCUACCUAGAUUUCUGUACUCUUUUCCCAUUAUGAUAAUUCUUUCCUAUUUUCUCCUUUUCAGGUUGACCACAGAACUGACUGUCACCCUCACUGAACUCCUUACUACAGGAGUGCAGCAGCAGAGAUCGCAGCCAGUGAUCUCAGUUAAAUGAAGACUAAUGCCUAGAGUUAGGAUAUACAGCUCAGGCAUUUAUCAGUCAUUUAUGUCCUUUGAGUGGCUGCAUUUGCUAAUCAGAUGCUUAUGGUGCUCCAGCUGUUAUAGCUGCCAGGGAGCAAGGGCAGGUGAUCUGCAAGCAGGCAUCAGCAGCAGGGUAGGAUCAUCGCAGGAUGGACACAGGUGAGUAGCUCUGGCAAUGGUCAUUGGAUUCAGUCAGGAGUCCAGAUCAUUAGGCAAGUCCAUAGUGAUAAAGCAGAAUCCAAACAAAAAUGUCAUGUCUCCAAGUCAGGCUCCAGUAUCGCACAGGCACAUAUGAAGAGCAAGAAAUUGAGCUUAAACGUAUCACAGAAUCACAGAAUCAUCUAGGCUGGAAGAGACCUCCAAAUCACCUAGUCCAGCCUCUGACCUAACACUAACAAGUCCUCCACUAAACCAUAUCACUAAGCUCUACAUCUAAAUGUCUUUUAAAGACCUCCAGGGAUGGUGACUCAACCACUUCCCUGGGCAGCCCAUUCCAAUGCCUAAAAGUAGCUGCCAGGCACAGGAGGACAGCUCCUCUGUGGGGCUGUCUAAUGUCAGAGAGAAGCAUCUUCAAAGUUGGGCUAGAGCCCUAGCAGCUGAACCCUGGGUGCAGCACUUGGGGCCUUGAAAACGUUCAACACUUUCAAGAACUGGAUGUAAGACAGCAUUAAAGUGGAUCAGAUGUGUAAGUAGGUCAACCAUAUUGUCUCUCUCUUCUUAGUGGUUCUCAUGCCUUAGAUUUGGUGAGCCAUUGGGCCACAGCUUUCUUGUAUCCAUUUUACUCAGCCAACAGCAAAAUCCCCACUCAUCUUGCUUUCAGACUCACAUUAGAGUCUCUUUUACAUGUACAGCUGUCGUUGAUAAGUCACUUCUGGCUUACAUUAGAUUGCAAAAUAAAUAAAUAAAUAAAUAAAAU
Molecule: long non-coding RNA, 1241 nt
Filed under: Anser brachyrhynchus (Pink-footed goose)
Lineage: Eukaryota; Metazoa; Chordata; Aves; Anseriformes; Anatidae
Description: lncRNA (ENSABRG00000003704.1)
Source: RNAcentral